This 253-nucleotide ribosomal RNA is filed under the name uncultured bacterium. RNAcentral's name for it is "partial 16S ribosomal RNA". It matches the Rfam family "Bacterial small subunit ribosomal RNA", at positions 524 to 776 of the family's 1533-position model. The record is from RNAcentral.
UACAGAGGGUGCAAGCGUUGUCCGGAAUCAUUGGGCGUAAAGCGCGCGUAGGUGGCCUCAUAAGUCCGCUGUGAAAGUCAAAGGCUCAACCUUUGAAAGCCGGUGGAUACUGUGAGGCUAGAGUACGGAAGAGGCGAGUGGAAUUCCUGGUGUAGCGGUGGAAUGCGCAGAUAUCAGGAGGAACACCAAUAGCGAAGGCAGCUCGCUGGGACGUUACUGACACUGAGGCGCGAAAGCGUGGGGAGCGAACAGG